UACGUAGGGGGCAAGCGUUGUCCGGAAUCAUUGGGCGUAAAGCGCGUGUAGGCGGCUCGGUAAGUCUGCUCUGAAAGCCUGGGGCUCAACCCUGGGAGGCGGGUGGAUACUGCUGAGCUCGAGUCCGGAAGAGGCGAGUGGAAUUCCUGGUGUAGCGGUGAGAUGCGCAGAUAUCAGGAGGAACACCAACGGCGAAGGCAGCUCGCUGGGACGGUACUGACGCUGAGACGCGAAAGCGUGGGGAGCAAACAGG
This 253-nucleotide ribosomal RNA is filed under the name uncultured bacterium. RNAcentral describes it as "partial 16S ribosomal RNA". It matches the Rfam family "Bacterial small subunit ribosomal RNA", at positions 524 to 776 of the family's 1533-position model. The record is from RNAcentral.